AUGCAUCAGAUCGCCGGGUUGCCCCUUGAUGGUGAACCUUAUGAAGAAUAUGUUCCCCUAGCUGAUGAGUUGGAUCCUUCGACUCUUUUGUACCCCAACUUCCUGCCCCGGCUCCUAGAAACUUGGACCAAGCUUGUUGUGGGUGGCAAAGUAGGUUUCAAGGAAUGGUGUGACUUCUUUCACAAUAGUGGAGUAGACUUUGCUACCCAGAGCUUAGAAGACCAACGCAUGUAUACUGCAGCUUUUCUCGCCAUAUGGCUUUGCCGCUAUGUUGGUGGUGGGCCAUAUAUUCGCCCUGGGGUAUUAGUGAUGACGGCAUGGAUUUCCCUAGGACCACGCAUCUCUCUGGGUCCACCUGCUCUUUGCUCCCUUUAUUACUCACUUUGGCGAAUUUGUACUCAUCCUAUUGGUCCCUCGUUCAUACAUAGGAUUUAG
RNAcentral lists this ribosomal RNA (435 nucleotides) under Triticum aestivum (bread wheat). Its description in RNAcentral is "partial small subunit ribosomal RNA". The record is from RNAcentral. Lineage: Eukaryota; Viridiplantae; Streptophyta; Magnoliopsida; Poales; Poaceae.